CUUCGGUGCUUAUACUUUUUUUUAAAUAUAUUUAUAUAAAUAGUUUUAAGUGAAAAUAAAACCUUCAGCUAGAUUGAUAUACCCGGGAAUAUACCUGAAGUGGUGGAUUAGGUUCUGAUGCAUGAGAUUACGGGACGUCUAAUGGCUUCAAUUUUGAUGGAAAGCUGUAUCAGACCGGACGGUUUUUGUUCGGAAUCGAACGAUUGGAAACCCGGAGUUCGCCAAUCAGUCCGAGAAGUAGCAGAUGGGCGUCACAAUAAAACAUCACAAGGUAAAUUCAAAAAACAAGUAGAGGGAAGCGCAUCUCGACGGACGUGUUCUCCAGUGGCUAAAAGAUCGACGACAAAACAACCCUAUUCAUCUAUCCAUGUCCUGCAAACCAGGCCAACUUAACAACAAAUACUCACAAUAAAAAAUAAAAUGAGAAU
Long non-coding RNA from Armigeres subalbatus, 428 nucleotides. RefSeq lists it as uncharacterized. The record is from RefSeq and is a predicted model, not a curated record. Lineage: Eukaryota; Metazoa; Arthropoda; Insecta; Diptera; Culicidae. The transcript is spliced from 3 exons.